GACGAACGCUGGCGGCGUGCUUAACACAUGCAAGUCGAACGAAGUGGCGAACGGGUGAGUAACGCGUAAUCAACCUGCCCUUCAGCGGGGGACAACAGUUGGAAACGAAUGCUAAUACCGCAUACUGAAGGAGGGGAUUGCGUCUGAUUGGCUCGUUGGAGGGGGAACGGCCCACCAAGGCGAUGAUCAGGAGCCGGGCUGAGAGGAUGAACGGCCAAAGUGGGACUGAGACACGGCCCAGACGCCGACGGGAGGCAGCAGUGGGGAAUCGUCCGCAAUGGACGAAAGUCUGACGGAGCAACGCCGCGGGAGUGAUGACGGGCGUCGGGUUGUAAAGCUCUGUUAAUCGGGACGCGGUACCGGAAUAGAAAGCCACGGCUAACUACGUGCCAGCAGCCGCGGUAAUAC
RNAcentral lists this ribosomal RNA (408 nucleotides) under uncultured bacterium. RNAcentral's name for it is "partial 16S ribosomal RNA". It matches the Rfam family "Bacterial small subunit ribosomal RNA", at positions 28 to 526 of the family's 1533-position model. The record is from RNAcentral.